UCUCUAUGCUCUCUCUCUUCAUCUCCUUUCUCUAUCUCGGUAGGGAUCUUUCUCUCAUCUACUCGAAGCUCUCUUCAUCUCAUAAGCAAUUCGGUCCCUCUGGAAGCGAAACCAAUGUUUCUUUGUAUUAAAAAAGCCCUGGUACUCUCUCUCUUUGACCAUCACAGCCAUAUGAUCUCCCUGCCAUUGGUUCAUUCUCCAUUGUCAUGGUUCAAUGGCUCUUACAAGAGGGAUUUCAAAGCCAUGGUCAGUAGACAGGUAUGGAAAUGGGAGAUUUGAAAGGGUUUUCGGGCUUAGCUCUUUGGAAGGGAGCAUUGGGGAGAGAUGAGUAGGAAAUUGGAGGUGGUAAUGGGCGCUUGUGUGACUAUGAUAUUCGGUGUUGCGAAUGGAGUUCUAUAUAAGAUGUUUGUUAUUCAAUUGAUUCAGUGUCCCUUCUUUCUUGCUCAAAUUGCAACUUUUGGCAGUCUUGGGAAGUUGCAUGCUUUGGUUACAUCCCAGGUCAACAAGCAUGCGUAUAAUAGCAAACAGUCUGAUCAGAACACACUUGAACAGAUACAAUGCCAGAAAAGAUGGCAGCUAGCAUAUUGUGCAAGUUGAAAAGCUUGCAUACAUCUCCAAAACCCAUAAUUUCAGAUGUGCUUCGUAUAGUUGCAACACUUGGCAAAGUACAUGAUGAUAACUUGAGCAGUCUCUAGGCACCACUUGAAAUCAUGUCUGGACACUGAUGCGGUUAAACUUGGGAAGAGAAAAAAGUAUGUUGCAGCUUUGGUUGCAUAUGCAGCAGCCUUUGCAACUGCGAAAGCUACAAUAUCCAAUAUUGUCGAGAGACCACCUCAUCCUCGAUGGUUAUUUAGAAAUCCUAUGUAAACUAUAAUCAACGAUGAUGUCGAAUGCCACAACCAAAUUAGAAUGAGUCCGAGGACCUUCUUUGUACUAAGAGAUAUUCUCAAAGAGAGAGGCAAUAUACGAGAUACCAUAAUGUAACAUUGGAAGAGCAGCUGGUCAUGUUCCUACAUACUCUUAGCCACAAUUUGAAGAAUCGGAAAAUUGGUCAUGAUUUUGGCUAUUCCAGCGAGACAGCGAGUCGACAUUUUAAUAGAGUGUUGAAUGCAAUCUUAGCCCUCUAUCGUGAUUUUAUGAAACCACCUGCUUUGGCGACGCCUCCUCAGAUUAACAAUGUGGACAGGUUUAGAGAUUACUUGAAGGAAUGGAUAUUGAAGAGGUGAGCAGCCAGUCAAUAACUGGGUCGAAGAAAUUAGCGUGGACUCAGCAGAUGGAACUUUAUUUUGGACUUGCUCAUUGACCAAACAAGCCUAGGAAAAAAAGCAGAAAAUGUUUAGAAAACAGGCGUGGAAAGCAAAUCAAGUUAAAUUCAAUAAAGAGUUUGGGAUGAAUGUACAGAAAGAACUAUUUAAGUACAAGUAUCGGAACUUGAAAGACAAAUACAAAGCCAUAAAGGAACUGAAAAGCCAAAGUGCAGUUGGAUGGAACAAAUCACAACAAAUGUCUUAUGCUGAUGAUCUAUUUUGGAAUGAUUAAUUGAAGAGUCGCCCAGCUGCGAAACCUUUCCAAGACAAACCUGUGACACGUUGGAGGGAGUUAUGUAUUAUCAUUGGUGAUGACAUCGCUGAUGGUGGUGGGGCUAGGACCUGUGCUGAAGCCAAUGCUACUCGUAAUGUUGGAUUUGAUGGGGAAAAUGUCGUAGGAAUGGAUGAGGAGGUUAACGAACAAGAUGAUGAGGUAGAGGAGCCCUUAAUGCCUAGGACGUCAGUUGGAAAGGGUGCUGCAACCUUUGAGGCACGAUCAACAACAAAGAAGGGCAAAAAGAGGAAGAAAACUAAUGUGGCGCAUUAUUGGAUAGAAUGGGUUAAAGAUUGGGAGAGGCUAUGGACCAAUUGCGUGAGGAAGAAAGGCCAUAUAUCAAGAGUGUUUAUGAUGCAUUGGGCAAGAUCUCAGUACUUGAUGUAGAUUUGAAAUUAGCAGUAUGUCAAGCAAUCGCUUACCAUGCAGCUAUGAGUAACAUAUUCUUGACUAUGAACGAGGAAGAAAUGAUUGUUUGGAUCCGCAAGAAAUAUGGCAUAUGAGAUAUUGAGGACUUGUCAGAUGCUUUUUGAUAUUUGUGGACUUGACUUCCUUUUUUCAAAUAAAAAAGCAUAUGACAAGUCAUCAAUAUCUUAGUUGCCAUAAUUCUUGCAGAUCCAAACAAUCAUUUCUUCCUCACUCAUAGUCACUCAUAGUGGCAUGGUAAGUGAUUGUUUGCAAUGUUUCUAAUUUCAAAUCUACAUCAAGUACUAGGAUCUUGCCCAAUGCAUGCAUUUUCAUCUCGCCCAGAGUGGAUUAUACUUCUUUUUUGGAGUUGUUUUGGAUUUGUCAUCUUCUUAUUUCUCAAUUAGUUUUCAAUGCAGUUAUUUGAUGCUUCUUGAAUAUGAAUGCUGAACUCAUGAGCUGUGGCUUAUAUUACAUUUCUUUGAAUAUGAUGAAUGUAGUUCUCUCCUGAGCUAGUGCUAUCAUCUUAA
Amborella trichopoda is the source of this 2516-nucleotide long non-coding RNA. RefSeq lists it as uncharacterized. NCBI's taxonomy places the organism in Eukaryota, Viridiplantae, Streptophyta, Magnoliopsida, Amborellales, Amborellaceae. The record is from RefSeq and is a predicted model, not a curated record.